UCAAUCCUGCCUUGCACGUUACGGCGACACAUGUUUUGAACCAAUGCUGUUUCCUAGGGAGCUCAACAUCGCCCUGCGGAUGACACGCCCCCGAAAGGGGUAGUCAGCAUGCAGCGCUGCGGGCACCCACCUGCGAGAGCGGGUUCAGAAACAAGCGCGUCGGACGGCAAAGGCGGGUUUUCC
RNAcentral lists this non-coding RNA (183 nucleotides) under Cohnella ginsengisoli. Its description in RNAcentral is "6S RNA". It matches the Rfam family "6S / SsrS RNA". Rfam says of the family: E. coli 6S RNA was the first non coding RNA to be sequenced, but its function was unknown until recently. It consists of 184 nucleotides that fold into an extended hairpin structure with a large single-stranded internal bulge. The record is from RNAcentral. Lineage: Bacteria; Bacillati; Bacillota; Bacilli; Caryophanales; Paenibacillaceae. RNAcentral also lists the same sequence under 1 other name.